This is a long non-coding RNA of Brassica rapa (field mustard), 4087 nucleotides long. RefSeq lists it as uncharacterized. The record is from RefSeq and is a predicted model, not a curated record. Lineage: Eukaryota; Viridiplantae; Streptophyta; Magnoliopsida; Brassicales; Brassicaceae.
GGCACUACGUGGUUAAUUUAAUGCAAGCUUUAAUAACAACAAUGAAUGAAGGCAAUCGAUUUAUAACUUAUGUAUUUCUAGCUCAUGGAUCUAACAUCCUAACUACAUAGACUAAGCAAGCCGACUAGUCAGCAAAGAAACACAUAGAUCAAUAAAGAAAGCAUGGAAUACAAUUGCAAUAGAUAAUAAGAAAUAGGGUUCAAGGAAUUUUUCUCUAAAUCGAGAGAGUGGUCUUUUUCCUUACAAGGUAUCGAGUAGCAAAUCGCAACAAUGGAAAAUUCAAGAGUCUGGUUUCUUUAAAAAAUUAGCAUAGAAAACAAAGGAGAAGAGAAAAAGAAUAUAUAUUAGAGUCGCUGGCAGCGGCUCAGAGGAAAAUAUGGGAUCAGUAGGAUAAAUCCUAAAAUAUCUUGAAAGUUUACAUAAAAAUCUCCAGCGACGGAGCAACUGCUCCAGGUAUAAUCAUCCACUUUGGUACUCUUUUCGGCUGCUCUGCAUGAAAAUUUCUAAUUUGUACUCUUUUCCGCAUGCACCAUUCCAAAAGCCUCUCAACCUACUGAGGACCUGAAAUGAUUCGUAAAGGAUUAGAAUGAUUCGAUAAAGACUUGAAAACACUUUAGAAAACAUAUAUUUAAUGUGUCAAAACAUAAUAUAAAAAGACAUAGAAGGAUAUGGUGGUUGAGAUGAAGAAAUAAAUCAGGUCAUGAAAAAAAUUUAGUCAAGAAGUAUGUCAAAGAAUGCAUUAGAGUAUGAUGCAGUACUCUUAAGUAAUAUAUUCCGCUGCCACACAUAAUGUAUCAUGAUUACACAUGAGCAGACAAGUGUGUCUAUAAAGUAAGUUUUGACAUCUAAGUUAUGUUUUAACUUGCAUGUUCUUGAUUGUAUAAUAUUUCAUCUGAAUGCUUGAUUUAUGGAUUUAUUUUGUUUAUUUAUAUUUGUAUGUGUAUUAUGGUAUGUUGCUAAGAGUUUGUUUGUCCGACUUCUAUUAGUUGUUAAUAGAUUCCAAAUCCGACAUAUUAUUUUAGCUAUUGGAAUGAUGUUUGUAGUGUUAACCACAUAACACGUAAUAGUUUAGGAAUGUUAUCAUGUGAAUCUCGAUAUAUUAUUUUUGUCCAGAUUUAUAGCUAUACGGUGGUCUAUCUUGCGGACGUGACAAUUAUUAUUAUUUUUUUGAUUAAUCAGGAGGUGAUCCGGCGGUCGUGGCUAACUGACUAAUCCCUCUGAGCCUGGAACCAGCCUGCGUCUGUACCUUCAAGGGGCCUAAGUUAUUCCAUGACCAGAGCGUAUUAAACCCGGAUUCGUAUUGGAGCUUUUUGCUCCUUCAAGACCACUAGGUCAAUUUGAGCUGGUUAAAAUAAGUGAAAAAGGAAAAAAACGUGACAAUUAUUUUUCCUUUUUAAAAUCUACCUGAACCCAUAGUCAUUACUGAUCAUCGCGGGUGUGAUGAUAAUUUUCCAUCCACUAGAUGUCAUUUUACAUAUUAAUUUUUAUGUUUUAUACAGUAUUUUGUAAGACUUUACACACAUGUAUGCUCUUUGGCUAUAAUUAUCAUAAACUGUCAACUAAAACUUUAUAUAGUUCUUGAAUUUUCACACAUUCUAACAACUUUAUUAUUAUACAUGAGGUUUCUUGCUCUACCGACCCUCUUUCACCAUAAGCAUGCCCCAUAAUAUAUAUAUAUAUAUAUAUAUAAACGAUAAAUCUUUUAAAUAGAUUUUUAAAAAAUUAUCUACUAAAUAGCGAUUAAAAAAAUUAAAUGAUCAAAAUAUGUUUUAUUAGAAAGGCAAUGAUAAUUUUAUCUAUAUUUUUAUUUUUAUUUUAAUUAUUAAGGAAAAUCUUAUGAUUAUUUAGGAAAGUCUUUCUAAACUCAAGUUUAAGAAGAUGUCAUAUAGAUUCAAGGUCCUUAUAAUUUUUUAUAAAGAAAAAUCAUUUCGAACCAAAAUCAAAAAUAAAUUUUGAAGAGAAAAUUUUGUAAAAGAAUAAAAUUUCUAAAACAAAAUUCAAACUUUUGUUGAAAAUAAAAUUUUACAUUUUUAUAGAUUAUUUAAAUAUUUAUGUAUCUAUAGAAAAUGGAUAUAAACUUAUUUUUGUUGUUUUGAUCAUUGAGUUCUAGUUUGAGAAUAGUAAUUUGUUUUCAGGCUGAGGCCAUUUUUAAUAUAAAAAAUAGGAUAAUGAUUAAAUAUUUCUAAGAAAAUUAACUCAUUGGCUGUCCCAGGUGAAUCACCGAUGGUUACACUUUUUCUUACUCGCUUUGAGUUGUUCGUCAUUAUUUUAUUGAAAUACCAAAAAAAGUCAAUAAAAAGAGCCCAAAAGGGAAACUAAAUAAUUAAUUUAUCACUUAUCAAGAUAAGAAAAGAAGGCCACUCCUUUGACACCCGCAUUAAAAUGUAUAUCAUGAUAAGUUGAUAACAAUGGCAAGUUUGUAUUCGUUGUACACAAAAAACUCAAACUUACCCGAAAAAAUUAUUAAACUAACUACAAUAUGAACAUGAAAAGUAUAGCACAAAGGCACUUUCAAAGUUCUAACUUCCUUUGGAACUCUUUUAUUUAAUAAUUAUUAUUAGACACAAAUAUGGUUUAUACAAUUAACAUCAUAGACUAUCAUGCCGCGUACUAACGUCCUUGUAGAAUAAAAGAAUUCUGAUUUUCUCUUCAAUUUUUGAUUAUGGCUUUGAGAACUACAUAUACUUGUAUACUAAUACUAUAUCUUUUGAAAUUCAAAACUAUAUAUACUUAUGUUAUGAAAAAAUGAUUAAUGAACAAAAAAAAUUUCAAAAAGUAAUGGUCAAGUUUCGAAGAAAAACAAAUUAAUGAUUGACAGACACAAAAAGUAAUAAAAUGCAUAUUUAUUUCCUUUUCUCUGGUCGGCAAGAUUGAGUUGAUUUAGGUUUCGCUUUUGAGAAGAUGAUAAAGAACAUGUAAACUAACAAAACCAUUAUAAAAAGAGCUAAGUAAACAUUUUAUUAGUGUAUUAGUUUCGUUAUGUUUUUGUUUAUUUAACAGUUAUGUUUUGAAUUGUGCACUACAACCCUUUGUUUAUGUUAGUAGCGUGGGUGUACUUAAUUACACAAUAUUGGACAUACGUUAAAACGAUAAUUUCAUUAUGACAUUCUGCAUUCAACCAAAAACUUUCAGAGGAACAAAGAAACACGUAAUAAACUUUCAUCGCAGUUUCAGAUUAUGGACCAAAACCUUAACUAUACAUUUGCCAAAUGGAUGUGCUUUCGGUAACGUCUUUGAUUUUUUGUUUUGACAACGUCGCUGAUGGUUUGGUCAAAGACACAAUUUUGUUACAUUUUCUAAUUAAUUGGUAUCAAAACAUGAUCUAUUGUCUUGUGUUUAUCCGAAAUUGAUCUACACAAAAAGAUACCACGUUAGUCAAUAUUUUAAAUUUAUCAACAUAGUGCAUAUGUAAGCUUCUUGAACUGUUUUGGUCAAAUCUUUUUCUAUUUUAUGUAAACGUUACAAAUCAAAACACUCACUCCAGGAUAACUAUCAUCCGAGAGCGAGUAUGUUUAAACAUUAAAUAUAAUUAAGCAAACAUUCUCAUGGAUGGAUAAUGAAAUUGAAAUACACAUAUAUAAUCAAUACCAAAGUCCAUGCUAUUUCUGACAAAGUGACAACCAAAGUUGAGAGACAGAUAUAAUCAAUAUAAAGUUAUUUUGUCUUCGCACACAAAAUUUGGAUUUUUGACUCAUUCUUCGAUAAUAGUUAUUGUUGAGGAUUCAAGAGACGUAGAAUUUGUUUGUUCUUUGUAGCUUUGAUAAUAUUUGUUUCAGAUUCACAUACUUAUUAACGUAAUAUGUAGCCUUGAGUUCGGUAGCACUGAAAUAAAUACUACGAGUAUUUAUAUGGAAAGUCACUAUGUGAAUUAACUAGAAAAGAUGGAGAAAAAGAUAUUCGCUUUCAAGAAUGUCUGACAAAUGUUGACUAAUCCACUGUACAACAUAGCAUACAGUCUUAUAAGCAAGCAAAAGUCGUCAAAGACCAUAGCACUCGUGCAACCUAUUUCACAUCUAUUAGUUUUGGGCAGUCUAUUUUUUUUAUAAGAAAGUAUUAUACUUUCAAACAACCUAUUACGCAACCAUCA